RNAcentral lists this ribosomal RNA (866 nucleotides) under Bacillus atrophaeus. RNAcentral's name for it is "bacterial SSU rRNA". It matches the Rfam family "Bacterial small subunit ribosomal RNA", at positions 326 to 1183 of the family's 1533-position model. Lineage: Bacteria; Bacillati; Bacillota; Bacilli; Caryophanales; Bacillaceae. The record is from RNAcentral.
ACGGCCCAGACUCCUACGGGAGGCAGCAGUAGGGAAUCUUCCGCAAUGGACGAAAGUCUGACGGAGCAACGCCGCGUGAGUGAUGAAGGUUUUCGGAUCGUAAAGCUCUGUUGUUAGGGAAGAACAAGUGCCGUUCAAAUAGGGCGGCACCUUGACGGUACCUAACCAGAAAGCCACGGCUAACUACGUGCCAGCAGCCGCGGUAAUACGUAGGUGGCAAGCGUUGUCCGGAAUUAUUGGGCGUAAAGGGCUCGCAGGCGGUUUCUUAAGUCUGAUGUGAAAGCCCCCCGGCUCAACCGGGGAGGGUCAUUGGAAACUGGGGAACUUGAGUGCAGAAGAGGAGAGUGGAAUUCCACGUGUAGCGGUGAAAUGCGUAGAGAUGUGGAGGAACACCAGUGGCGAAGGCGACUCUCUGGUCUGUAACUGACGCUGAGGAGCGAAAGCGUGGGGAGCGAACAGGAUUAGAUACCCUGGUAGUCCACGCCGUAAACGAUGAGUGCUAAGUGUUAGGGGGUUUCCGCCCCUUAGUGCUGCAGCUAACGCAUUAAGCACUCCGCCUGGGGAGUACGGUCGCAAGACUGAAACUCAAAGGAAUUGACGGGGGCCCGCACAAGCGGUGGAGCAUGUGGUUUAAUUCGAAGCAACGCGAAGAACCUUACCAGGUCUUGACAUCCUCUGACACCCCUAGAGAUAGGGCUUCCCCUUCGGGGGCAGAGUGACAGGUGGUGCAUGGUUGUCGUCAGCUCGUGUCGUGAGAUGUUGGGUUAAGUCCCGCAACGAGCGCAACCCUUGAUCUUAGUUGCCAGCAUUCAGUUGGGCACUCUAAGGUGACUGCCGGUGACAAACCGGAGGAAGGUGGGGAUGAC